CCCCGGUAAACGGCGGCCGUAACUAUAACGGUCCUAAGGUAGCGAAAUUCCUUGUCGGGUAAGUUCCGACCUGCACGAAUGGCGUAAUGAUGGCCAGGCUGUCUCCACCCGAGACUCAGUGAAAUUGAACUCGCUGUGAAGAUGCAGUGUACCCGCGGCAAGACGGAAAGACCCCGUGAACCUUUACUAUAGCUUGACACUGAACAUUGAGCCUUGAUGUGUAGGAUAGGUGGGAGGCUUUGAAGUGUGGACGCCAGUCUGCAUGGAGCCGACCUUGAAAUACCACCCUUUAAUGUUUGAUGUUCUAACGUGGACCCGUAAUCCGGGUUGCGGACAGUGUCUGGUGGGUAGUUUGACUGGGGCGGUCUCCUCCUAAAGAGUAACGGAGGAGCACGAAGGUUGGCUAAUCCUGGUCGGACAUCAGGAGGUUAGUGCAAUGGCAUAAGCCAGCUUGACUGCGAGCGUGACGGCGCGAGCAGGUGCGAAAGCAGGUCAUAGUGAUCCGGUGGUUCUGAAUGGAAGGGCCAUCGCUCAACGGAUAAAAGGUACUCCGGGGAUAACAGGCUGAUACCGCCCAAGAGUUCAUAUCGACGGCGGUGUUUGGCACCUCGAUGUCGGCUCAUCACAUCCUGGGGCUGAAGUAGGUCCCAAGGGUAUGGCUGUUCGCCAUUUAAAGUGGUACGCGAGCUGGGUUUAGAACGUCGUGAGACAGUUCGGUCCCUAUCUGCCGUGGGCGCUGGAGAACUGAGGGGGGCUGCUCCUAGUACGAGAGGACCGGAGUGGACGCAUCACUGGUGUUCGGGUUGUCAUGCCAAUGGCACUGCCCGGUAGCUAAAUGCGGAAGAGAUAAGUGCUGAAAGCAUCUAAGCACGAAACUUGCCCCGAGAUGAGUUCUCCCUGAGACUUAGAGUCUCCUGAAGGAACGUUGAAGACGACGACGUUGAUAGGCCGGGUGUGU
This 958-nucleotide ribosomal RNA is filed under the name Salmonella enterica subsp. enterica serovar Typhimurium. RNAcentral describes it as "partial 23S ribosomal RNA". It matches the Rfam family "Bacterial large subunit ribosomal RNA", at positions 1918 to 2870 of the family's 2925-position model. Lineage: Bacteria; Pseudomonadati; Pseudomonadota; Gammaproteobacteria; Enterobacterales; Enterobacteriaceae. The record is from RNAcentral.